GGAUGAACGCUGGCGGCGCGCCUAAUACAUGCAAGUCGAGCGAACAGACGAGGAGCUUGCUCCUCUGACGUUAGCGGCGGACGGGUGAGUAACACGUGGAUAACCUACCUAUAAGACUGGGAUAACUUCGGGAAACCGGAGCUAAUACCGGAUAAUAUAUUGAACCGCAUGGUUCAAUAGUGAAAGACGGUUUUGCUGUCACUUAUAGAUGGAUCCGCGCCGCAUUAGCUAGUUGGUAAGGUAACGGCUUACCAAGGCAACGAUGCGUAGCCGACCUGAGAGGGUGAUCGGCCACACUGGAACUGAGACACGGUCCAGACUCCUACGGGAGGCAGCAGUAGGGAAUCUUCCGCAAUGGGCGAAAGCCUGACGGAGCAACGCCGCGUGAGUGAUGAAGGUCUUCGGAUCGUAAAACUCUGUUAUUAGGGAAGAACAAAUGUGUAAGUAACUAUGCACGUCUUGACGGUACCUAAUCAGAAAGCCACGGCUAACUACGUG
Molecule: ribosomal RNA, 498 nt
Filed under: uncultured bacterium
Lineage: Bacteria
Description: partial 16S ribosomal RNA
Rfam family: Bacterial small subunit ribosomal RNA
Source: RNAcentral